This 480-nucleotide ribosomal RNA is filed under the name Streptomyces sp. RNAcentral describes it as "bacterial SSU rRNA". It matches the Rfam family "Bacterial small subunit ribosomal RNA", at positions 97 to 590 of the family's 1533-position model. The record is from RNAcentral. Lineage: Bacteria; Bacillati; Actinomycetota; Actinomycetes; Kitasatosporales; Streptomycetaceae.
GGCGAACGGGUGAGUAACACGUGGGCAAUCUGCCCUGCACUCUGGGACAAGCCCUGGAAACGGGGUCUAAUACCGGAUACUGACCCUCGCAGGCAUCUGCGAGGUUCGAAAGCUCCGGCGGUGCAGGAUGAGCCCGCGGCCUAUCAGCUAGUUGGUGAGGUAAUGGCUCACCAAGGCGACGACGGGUAGCCGGCCUGAGAGGGCGACCGGCCACACUGGGACUGAGACACGGCCCAGACUCCUACGGGAGGCAGCAGUGGGGAAUAUUGCACAAUGGGCGAAAGCCUGAUGCAGCGACGCCGCGUGAGGGAUGACGGCCUUCGGGUUGUAAACCUCUUUCAGCAGGGAAGAAGCGAAAGUGACGGUACCUGCAGAAGAAGCGCCGGCUAACUACGUGCCAGCAGCCGCGGUAAUACGUAGGGCGCAAGCGUUGUCCGGAAUUAUUGGGCGUAAAGAGCUCGUAGGCGGCUUGUCACGUCG